This 99-nucleotide long non-coding RNA is filed under the name Octopus sinensis (East Asian common octopus). Its description in RNAcentral is "uncharacterized LOC118766518". Lineage: Eukaryota; Metazoa; Mollusca; Cephalopoda; Octopoda; Octopodidae. The record is from RNAcentral.
AGAGAGUCUGAAGGUGAGAUAGAAAAUAAUCUUUAUAAUCUACUUGAAUUGAGAUGGGAUCACUUUAAUGUUCUCCCAUCCUUUGUGUAAUUGUUUAUG